Long non-coding RNA from Passer domesticus (house sparrow), 321 nucleotides. RefSeq lists it as uncharacterized. The transcript is spliced from 3 exons. The record is from RefSeq and is a predicted model, not a curated record. NCBI's taxonomy places the organism in Eukaryota, Metazoa, Chordata, Aves, Passeriformes, Passeridae.
GUUUUUCUGUUAACCAAGGCUAGCACUCUUUUUAAGUUCCCAAAAGCUGAGAUAGAGGAUUAACAAAGGAAAAGAAAAAGAAAAUGGCUGUAUCAGAAGAUAAUGCUGACUUGUCAAUUAGCCAAAUGGACUAGAGAAUUCAUAGCAUGUUUCUGAUUCCCAGUUCAGAAAUAUCAACCUAAAUUUGCCAGCAGCCUUGAGUCAUUGUGAAUCUACCACCAUGACACAUGAGCUUAAGUACACAGAAGCAUCUUUUUGAAGUCAAAUGAUUUAUUUAAGGUCAUGCCCCUGAAAUAAAUACUAAAUUUGUGAGUGACUGCA